RNAcentral lists this long non-coding RNA (566 nucleotides) under Cyanistes caeruleus (blue tit). RNAcentral describes it as "lncRNA (ENSCCEG00000000349.1)". The record is from RNAcentral. Lineage: Eukaryota; Metazoa; Chordata; Aves; Passeriformes; Paridae.
CUCAGCUGAUUAAAGGGAUUAUUGGUUAAGACUUCAUUAUAAACAUGUUCACACACUAGUUAAAAACAACUGAAAUAAACCAAAUCCCACAAUAUUUUCAGUUUCUGUCUUUUAGCUAUACCUGUUCUCAAAAACAACAGCACAAACAGGAGGUAAUCAGAAAAGUCUGUUUUCCAGUUCUACAUUUGACUGAGAAGGGACAUUUAUGCAAAAGUAGAAGGCAAGACUGGCCUGUGGAAAGCCCAAUGAAUACUCCACAAAUAUUGAAGAUGCUUACAUCAAGGUCCAGUUGUAGUGUCCAAGUUCUUCAGGGAAAAUACAAGACCACACUGACCAAGACGCUGAAGAAUGUUCUGAAUGCAGGCAAAAGUUAUGAAAAAGAUAUGAAACUCUAUUUUUGCCCAUAAAAUGCACACACAGCACAGUGAGAGCAAGAAUGCACUGUAAGAUUCUCUGGGUUUGACACAAAAUUGGUCAUUUAAACACAGUGGAUCUCAGUAUAUAACCAGGAAUGUUUGAGCUAUGGAAUCUUUAACAUUUCUAAAGAAAAAGUAAAAUGAGUGAAU